Molecule: transfer RNA, 71 nt
Filed under: Thalassoglobus neptunius
Lineage: Bacteria; Pseudomonadati; Planctomycetota; Planctomycetia; Planctomycetales; Planctomycetaceae
Rfam family: tRNA
About the family: Transfer RNA (tRNA) molecules are approximately 80 nucleotides in length.
Source: Rfam by way of RNAcentral
GCGUCCAUGAUGUAGUGGUAGCCUGCCACCUUGCCAUGGUGGAAGUGCGGGUUCAAUUCCCGCUGGACGCU